GAUGAAGAACGCAGUGAAAUGCGAUAAGUAAUGUGAAUUGCAGAAUUCAGUGAAUCAUCGAAUCUUUGAACGCACCUUGCGCCCUUUGGCCAUUCCGAAGGGCAUGCCUGUUUGAGUAUCAUGAACACCUCAACUCUUCAUGGAUUUCCAUGAUGAGCUUGGACUUUGGGGGUCUUGCCGGCCUGUGGUCGGCUCCUCUCAAAUGAAUCAGCUUACUGGUUUUUGGUGGGCAUCACAGGUGUGAUAACUAUCUACGCUUGUGGUUUUCCACCAGGGUAACCUUCAGCAGUGGAGGUUCACUGGAGCUUACAAAUGUCUCUCCUCCGUGAGGACAGCCCUUUGAAUGUUUGAUCUCAAAUCAGGUAGGACUACCCGCUGAACUUAAGCAUAUCAAUAAGCGGAGGA
This 405-nucleotide unclassified non-coding RNA is filed under the name soil metagenome. RNAcentral's name for it is "partial contains 5.8S ribosomal RNA, internal transcribed spacer 2, and large subunit ribosomal RNA". The stretch from base 1 to 121 matches the Rfam family "5.8S ribosomal RNA", at positions 35 to 154 of the family's 154-position model. The record is from RNAcentral.